GAUGAACGCUAGGCGACAGGCUUUAACACAUGCAAGUCGAGGGGCAGCACAGGUAGCAAUACCGGGUGGCGACCGGCGCACGGGUGAGUAACGCGUAUGCAACUUGCCUAUCAGGAGGGGGAUAACCCGGCGAAAGUCGGACUAAUACCGCAUGAAGCAGGGGCCCCGCAUGGGGGAUAUUUGCUAAAGAUUCAUCGCUGAUAGAUAGGCAUGCGUUCCAUUAGGCAGUUGGCGGGGUAACGGCCCACCAAACCGACGAUGGAUAGGGGUUCUGAGAGGAAGGUCCCCCACAUUGGUACUGAGACACGGACCAAACUCCUACGGGAGGCAGCAGUGAGGAAUAUUGGUCAAUGGGCGCGAGCCUGAACCAGCCAAGUCGCGUGAGGGAUGAAGGUUCUAUGGAUCGUAAACCUCUUUAUAAGGGAAUAAAGUGCGGGACGUGUCCCGUUUUGUAUGUACCUUAUGAAUAAGGAUCGGCUAACUCCGUG
This 488-nucleotide ribosomal RNA is filed under the name uncultured bacterium. Its description in RNAcentral is "bacterial SSU rRNA". It matches the Rfam family "Bacterial small subunit ribosomal RNA", at positions 28 to 507 of the family's 1533-position model. The record is from RNAcentral.